AAAAACUUUCAACAACGGAUCUCUUGGUUCUGGCAUCGAUGAAGAACGCAGCGAAAUGCGAUAAGUAAUGUGAAUUGCAGAAUUCAGUGAAUCAUCGAAUCUUUGAACGCACAUUGCGCCCUCUGGUAUUCCGGGGGGCAUGCCUGUUCGAGCGUCAUUGCAAUCUCAAGCCGCUUGGUUUUGAGCAUCGCCCUU
Molecule: ribosomal RNA, 195 nt
Filed under: Pyxine sp. KoLRI Udo-31
Lineage: Eukaryota; Fungi; Ascomycota; Lecanoromycetes; Caliciales; Caliciaceae
Description: 5.8S ribosomal RNA
Rfam family: 5.8S ribosomal RNA (bases 4-157)
About the family: 5.8S ribosomal RNA (5.8S rRNA) is a component of the large subunit of the eukaryotic ribosome. It is transcribed by RNA polymerase I as part of the 45S precursor that also contains 18S and 28S rRNA.
Source: RNAcentral